Molecule: ribosomal RNA, 484 nt
Filed under: uncultured bacterium
Lineage: Bacteria
Description: partial 16S ribosomal RNA
Rfam family: Bacterial small subunit ribosomal RNA
Source: RNAcentral
GACGAACGCUGGCGGCGUGCUUAACACAUGCAAGUCGAACGAUGAACCCGGAGCUUGCUCCGGCGGAUUAGUGGCGAACGGGUGAGUAACACGUGAGUAACCUGCCCUUGACUCUGGGAUAACUGCGGGAAACUGUAGCUAAUACCGGAUACGACCCUCGGCGGCAUCGCCAGGGGGUGGAAAGAAUUUGGGGCAAGGAUGGACCCGCGGCCUAUCAGCUAGUUGGUGAGGUAACGGCUCACCAAGGGGACGACGGGUAGCCGGCCUGAGAGGGUGACCGGCCACACUGGGACUGAGACACGGCCCAGACUCCUACGGGAGGCAGCAGUAGGGAAUAUUGCACAAUGGGCGCAAGCCUGAUGCAGCAACGCCGCGUGAGGGAUGACGGCCUUCGGGUUGUAAACCUCCUUUAGUAGGGAAGAAGCGAAAGUGACGGUACCUGCAGAAAAAGCACCGGCUAACUACGUGCCAGCCGCCGCGGUAA